UUAACUGAAACCAAAAUUAGAGGUAUAUUAAUGUUAAUAAUAUAAUUGAAUAAUAUAUAUAUUCCAGUUAAG
Molecule: transfer RNA, 72 nt
Filed under: Allacta bimaculata
Lineage: Eukaryota; Metazoa; Arthropoda; Insecta; Blattodea; Pseudophyllodromiidae
Description: tRNA-Asn
Source: RNAcentral